UAGGGAAUCUUCGGCAAUGGGCGAAAGCCCGACCGAGCAACGCCGCGUGAAUGAUGAAGGCCUUCGGGUUGUAAAAUUCUGUUAUAAGGGAAGAAUGGCUCUAGUAGGAAAUGGCUAGAGUGUGACGGUACCUUAUGAGAAAGCCACGGCUAACUACGUGCCAGCAGCCGCGGUAAUACGUAGGUGGCGAGCGUUAUCCGGAAUUAUUGGGCGUAAAGAGCGCGCAGGUGGUUGAUUAAGUCUGAUGUGAAAGCCCACGGCUUAACCGUGGUGGGUCAUUGGAAACUGGGCAACUUGAGUGCAGAAUAGGGAAGUGGAAUUCCAUGUGUAGCGGUGAAAUGCGUAGAGAUAUGGAGGAACACCAGUGGCGAAGGCGGCUUCCUGGUCUGUAACUGACACUGAGGCGCGAAAGCGUGGGGAGCAAACA
Molecule: ribosomal RNA, 427 nt
Filed under: uncultured prokaryote
Description: bacterial SSU rRNA
Rfam family: Bacterial small subunit ribosomal RNA
Source: RNAcentral